Molecule: ribosomal RNA, 897 nt
Filed under: Chromohalobacter israelensis
Lineage: Bacteria; Pseudomonadati; Pseudomonadota; Gammaproteobacteria; Oceanospirillales; Halomonadaceae
Description: partial 23S ribosomal RNA
Rfam family: Bacterial large subunit ribosomal RNA
Source: RNAcentral
AGUAGCGGCGAGCGAACGGGGACUAGCCCUUAAGUCAAUGCACGGUUAGGUGAACGGCCUGGAAAGGCCGGCCAUAGUGGGUGAUAGCCCCGUAACCGAAAACCCGCAUUGGUGAAAUCGAGUAGGUCGGGGCACGUGAAACCUUGACUGAAGACGGGGGGACCAUCCUCCAAGGCUAAAUACUCCUGGCUGACCGAUAGUGAACCAGUACCGUGAGGGAAAGGCGAAAAGAACCCCGGCGAGGGGAGUGAAAUAGAUCCUGAAACCGUAUGCGUACAAGCAGUGGGAGCUGGCUUCGGCUGGUGACCGCGUACCUUUUGUAUAAUGGGUCAGCGACUUAUAUUCAGUGGCGAGCUUAACCGACUAGGGGAGGCGUAGGGAAACCGAGUCUUAACAGGGCGAUGAGUCGCUGGAUAUAGACCCGAAACCGGGCGAUCUAUCCAUGGCCAGAGUGAAGGUCAGGUAACACUGACUGGAGGCUCGAACCCAAGUAUGUUGAAAAAUGCUGGGAUGAGCUGUGGAUCGGAGUGAAAGGCUAAUCAAGCCCGGAGAUAGCUGGUUCUCCUCGAAAGCUAUUUAGGUAGCGCCUCACGUAUCACCGUCGGGGGUAGAGCACUGUUUCGGCUAGGGGGCCAUCCCGGCUUACCAACCCGAGGCAAACUCCGAAUACCGAUGAGUGCAGCGUGGGAGACACACAGCGGGUGCUAACGUCCGUUGUGAAAAGGGAAACAACCCAGACCGUCAGCUAAGGCCCCCAAAUUCUGGUUAAGUGGGAAACGAUGUGGGAAGGCUUAGACAGCUAGGAGGUUGGCUUAGAAGCAGCCAUCCUUUAAAGAAAGCGUAAUAGCUCACUAGUCGAGUCGGCCUGCGCGGAAGAUGUAACGGGGCUCAAACCAG